RNAcentral lists this ribosomal RNA (496 nucleotides) under uncultured bacterium. Its description in RNAcentral is "partial 16S ribosomal RNA". It matches the Rfam family "Bacterial small subunit ribosomal RNA", at positions 28 to 506 of the family's 1533-position model. The record is from RNAcentral.
GAUGAACGCUGGCGGCGUGCCUAAUACAUGCAAGUCGAGCGAACAGACGAGGAGCUUGCUCCUCUGACGUUAGCGGCGGACGGGUGAGUAACACGUGGAUAACCUACCUAUAAGACUGGGAUAACUUCGGGAAACCGGAGCUAAUACCGGAUAAUAUAUUGAACCGCAUGGUUCAAUAGUGAAAGACGGUUUUGCUGUCACUUAUAGAUGGAUCCGCGCCGCAUUAGCUAGUUGGUAAGGUAACGGCUUACCAAGGCGACGAUGCGUAGCCGACCUGAGAGGGUGAUCGGCCACACUGGAACUGAGACACGGUCCAGACUCCUACGGGAGGCAGCAGUAGGGAAUCUUCCGCAAUGGGCGAAAGCCUGACGGAGCAACGCCGCGGGAGUGAUGAAGGUCUUCGGAUCGUAAAACUCUGUUAUUAGGGAAGAACAAAUGUGUAAGUAACUAUGCACGUCUUGACGGUACCUAAGCAGAAAGCCACGGCUAACUACGU